UUGAGCCAAACAGUUAUUUCAAACGUCUAAAGUGCAUUAUGAAUUCCAUCACGUUCAGAGUACAACGAGACAGUGGAGAUGAAUGUCACAGAUAUUCAGCUCAUGAUAACUCACUCAUUGGUUUACAGUCAGGGUGGUCCUUGGGCAUCCAUUCCUGGAGGUGUUAAGUGCACAUAGGUCAGGUAGCUGUCUCCAAAUAAGGGUGUGAGGUGGCCCUGUGUUUGGCAAACAACUCGAGGUUCUGAUUGUCUUGGUGAUGGCAUUCAGGUGAAUAAAGUUUCUUAACAUCACUAAGUGCUACAAAGAAAUUAAGAAAGAAACGGACAGCAUAAGGACUCUCAAUCAUCCUGAAUGCUGGAAUUCAAUCAUGGUUAGAAGGAAUCAGAACAACAGAAUUACAACAAACUGCAAAACCAGGGAUCAUGAAAUCAAUUGUUCAAUUAUCAGUGGCAGCACAGCCAUUAAGCUCCACCACAAUGGGUGCAAGAUCCAGCUCUCUGUUGUUUUCAAACCAUUCAGAGACUGAGCCACAUUU
Chiloscyllium plagiosum (whitespotted bambooshark) is the source of this 535-nucleotide long non-coding RNA. RefSeq lists it as uncharacterized. NCBI's taxonomy places the organism in Eukaryota, Metazoa, Chordata, Chondrichthyes, Orectolobiformes, Hemiscylliidae. The record is from RefSeq and is a predicted model, not a curated record.